Molecule: RNA transcript, 1388 nt
Organism: Gossypium raimondii (Peruvian cotton)
Lineage: Eukaryota; Viridiplantae; Streptophyta; Magnoliopsida; Malvales; Malvaceae
Exons: 3
Source: RefSeq, a predicted model, not a curated record
CAGGGGUUUGAGGGUACUAAUUUUUUUUAUGGAAAAACCAAUGAAUUCUACACUUAACAUUUUGAAACAUUAAGUGGUAGCUUUUGUUGAGAAUAAACACCUGAAUCUUUCCACUAAUACAAUGUUAGUUUUUGGUUCGUCGAUAGAAGUAAAUGUUCUCGCUUCUGUGCGCAGCAAUCCAUCAGAGGGGAGUUUCAAACAUGUCAAAAAGCCUCUUAACAUUCUUUGGGGAAAAAAAGGUAAGCUCAAAGUACAGGGCUAGCCCAUGUUCCUUUACUGGAAGCCAUGAAUAAAAUAGUUGAGACACUUGGGGUAGAUGAUUCUUUGUCUACGAAUGGCAUGGCUGAUAGUGUUUCAACGGGAACCGAUAGUAUGGAUAUAGCAUCUGUUUGAGAAGCAAAUGUGUCUCAAGCUCGUAUAAUUAAGAAGGUUAUGGAUAUUUUUGGUAGUGCAUCAGGUCACAAUGUUAAUUCUAAAAAGACAGAGGUGCUGGUCUUGAAUGCCUUACCGAUGACUAAGGUCCUGCAUUUAUUGCGGAUUCUCCAUAACUCGUGUGAGCAGCAUCGUGUAGCUACCAUUCCAACCCACAACUCGUGUGAACAGGCCCAUUUCAUAGCUCGUGUGAGCACUAUUGAAAAAGAAAGGCUAUAAUUAUAUGGGCAGGCACACUAUGUGUGAGCAUUCCUAAGUAUCCGAUGUAAUUCUAGAUGGUUCAACGGGUAAGUAAAGGUAAUUGGCAAGGCAUGUGUUUAAAUGGAUAAUUACUUAUAAAUUUAUGAAAGGUAAAUUUGGAUGAAUGCAAGUGAAUUGAAUGGAACUAUAUGAUUAUGUGAUGAAUGUUAUGUUCAUGAAGAUUCAUUUGUGAAAUGGUUGAUUUUCUAUAUGCAUUAUACAUGAGCCUACUAAUUUGUGAGUUUGGUGAUGCUUAUAGGAUUGUAUUAAGCUUAUGAGUAUGGUAAAGAUGUUAUGCACAUUUUAUAAAUUGAGCUUAAGAAUGGUAAGUUAUGUUUGAGUUUAUACGAGCUUACUAAGCACUAGUUGCUUACGUAGUUAUUUUUCUUUGUUUCGUAGAUUAUCAGAAGCUCGAUCGGUUGAAAGCUUGUCGAAGAUCUAUCACACUAUCUAGCAACCACUUCGGUAGUUGUUAAGUUAUUUUGGCCAAGGUUAUAAAUGGCAUGUAUAGGACCUUUUUCUAAUGAAUGUCUCUGAAUAUGUUAGUGGACAAUUUGGUAUGAAUAUGUUUUUGGAAUAUGUAUUUUGUAUGUUAGACUUAUAAUGCUUAGGCAAGUUUAAGUCUUUUGGUCACUUUUAAGUACUUGUAAUAUAUGGUCCUUUUGGUAUAUUUGUGGUGAAAUGUGAAUGGUUAAAUUGGUGUCUUUAUGUAGUUA